This 433-nucleotide ribosomal RNA is filed under the name uncultured bacterium. Its description in RNAcentral is "partial 16S ribosomal RNA". It matches the Rfam family "Bacterial small subunit ribosomal RNA", at positions 29 to 507 of the family's 1533-position model. The record is from RNAcentral.
AACGAACGCUGGCGGCAUGCCUAACACAUGCAAGUCGAACGAUACCUUCGGGUCUAGUUGCGCACGGGUGCGUAACGCGUGGGAACCUUCCCUUAGGUUCGGAAUAACUCCCCGAAAGGGGUGCUAAUACCGGAUAAUUUCUUCGGACCAAAGAUUUAUCGCCUUUGGAUGGUCCCGCGUUGGAUUAGCUAGUUGGUAGGGUAAAAGCCUACCAAGGCGAAGAUCCAUAGCUGGUCUGAGAGGAUGAUCAGCCACACUGGGACUGAGACACGGCCCAGACUCCUACGGGAGGCAGCAGUUGGGAAUAUGGGACAAUGGGCGAAAGCAUGAUCCAGCAAUGCCGCGUGAGUGAUGAAGGCCUUAGGGUUGUAAAGCUCUUUUACAAGGGAUGAUAAUGACAGUACCGGGAGAAUAAGCUCCGGCUAACUCCGUG